Molecule: long non-coding RNA, 443 nt
Filed under: Homo sapiens (human)
Lineage: Eukaryota; Metazoa; Chordata; Mammalia; Primates; Hominidae
Description: HSALNT0391714
Source: RNAcentral
GACUUAGACCCAGGGCACCACAGAUGGUCAGAACUGGAAAGAUUCAUGGAGGUCAUUUCAUCUGGCCGGGGCCCAGAAGGACUAGGAGAUGUGCCUGCAGUCCCUCAAGGGGAGUCAAACAUCAAGAGGCUACAGGGCGCCGGGUGCGGUGGCUCACGUCUGUAAUGCCGGCACUUCAGGAGGUCGAGGCGGGCGGAUCAUCUGACGUCAGGAGUUUGAGACCAGCCUGGCCAACGUGGUGAAACCCUGUCUCUACUAAUAAUAAAAAACUAGCUGGGUGAGGUGGCUCAUGCCUGUAAUCCCAGCACUUUGGGAGGCCGAGGCAGGCAGAUCACUUGAGGUUAGGAGUUUGAAACCAGCCUUGCCAACAUGGUGAAACCCCGUCUCUACUAAAACUAUAAAAAUUAUCUGGGCGUGGUGGCACCUGCCUGUAAUCCCAGCUA